UGCGUAGGCGGGUCUUUAAGUCAGGGGUGAAAUCCUGGAGCUCAACUCCAGAACUGCCUUUGAUACUGAGGAUCUUGAGUUCGGGAGAGGUGAGUGGAACUGCGAGUGUAGAGGUGAAAUUCGUAGAUAUUCGCAAGAACACCAGUGGCGAAGGCGGCUCACUGGCCCGAUACUGACGCUGAGGCACGAAAGCGUGGGGAGCAAACAGGAUUAGAUACCCUGAUAGUCCACGCCGUAAACGAUGAAUGCCAGCCGUUAGUGGGUUUACUCACUAGUGGCGCAGCUAACGCUUUAAGCAUUCCGCCUGGGGAGUACGGUCGCAAGAUUAAA
This 330-nucleotide ribosomal RNA is filed under the name uncultured bacterium. RNAcentral describes it as "bacterial SSU rRNA". It matches the Rfam family "Bacterial small subunit ribosomal RNA", at positions 568 to 898 of the family's 1533-position model. The record is from RNAcentral.